RNAcentral lists this small RNA (110 nucleotides) under Sphingobium chlorophenolicum. RNAcentral describes it as "Manganese sequence". It matches the Rfam family "Manganese Mn2+ riboswitch aptamer (yybP-ykoY)". Rfam says of the family: This RNA was originally discovered in E. coli during a large scale screen and was named SraF. The family was later found to exist upstream of related families of protein genes in many bacteria, including the the yybP and ykoK genes in B. subtilis. The record is from RNAcentral. Lineage: Bacteria; Pseudomonadati; Pseudomonadota; Alphaproteobacteria; Sphingomonadales; Sphingobiaceae.
CCCCGCGUCAUCUGGGGAGUAGCCAGCCGUUCCGCGUCAGGAACGGGCCGUUCGUCAACAUAUUUGGCCGAGAGGCCAUGGCGGGCGGGAUGCGGGGGAAACUUCGCAUC